Molecule: non-coding RNA, 86 nt
Organism: Marchantia paleacea
Lineage: Eukaryota; Viridiplantae; Streptophyta; Marchantiopsida; Marchantiales; Marchantiaceae
Source: the annotation of a GenBank genome assembly
CCCUUAGGGAUUCGUGGCGCAAUGGUAGCGCAUCUGACUCCAGAUCAGAAGGUUGCGUGGUUUAUUCAUGUCAAGUUCAAACCGCG